GUGAGGAAUAUUGGUCAAUGGGCGCAAGCCUGAACCAGCCAUCCCGCGUGCAGGAAGAAGGCGCUAUGCGUUGUAAACUGCUUUUCCAGGGGAAGAAAACUUCCAUCGUGAUGGGACUUGCCGGUACCCUGGGAAUAAGCAUCGGCUAACUCCGUGCCAGCAGCCGCGGUAAUACGGAGGAUGCGAGCGUUAUCCGGAUUUAUUGGGUUUAAAGGGUGCGUAGGCGGAUUAAUAAGUCAGUGGUGAAAACCUGCAGCUUAACUGUAGACUUGCCAUUGAUACUGUUAGUCUUGAGUACGGUCAAGGUAGGCGGAAUGUGUAAUGUAGCGGUGAAAUGCUUAGAUAUUACACAGAACACCGAUUGCGAAGGCAGCUUACUGGGCCAUUACUGACGCUGAUGCACGAAAGCGUGGGGAGCGAACAGGAUUAGAAACCCCAGUAGUCC
This 445-nucleotide ribosomal RNA is filed under the name uncultured bacterium. Its description in RNAcentral is "bacterial SSU rRNA". It matches the Rfam family "Bacterial small subunit ribosomal RNA", at positions 354 to 796 of the family's 1533-position model. The record is from RNAcentral.